This 222-nucleotide long non-coding RNA is filed under the name Capsicum annuum. RNAcentral describes it as "long non-coding RNA (CANN_LNC010577)". Lineage: Eukaryota; Viridiplantae; Streptophyta; Magnoliopsida; Solanales; Solanaceae. The record is from RNAcentral.
CUCCUCCCUCAAUGUUGUUUUCAUAUCUCUCCCCAGCUUCACUUUAUUUCCCUGAUUGAGAUUGUUCAGGAAACUCCUCUGAAUCCCUCUGUACUGUAGCCUUUUUUUGGGGGGGGGGAGGGGUGAGACGUUGAUCCACUUUCACUUUCUUUUCUUUUGGGAGAUAUGUUUCACCUACAAACAACAGAGAAACAAAAAUUACAUUACAAUUGUUGUAUGCAU